This is a long non-coding RNA of Mustela erminea (ermine), 758 nucleotides long. RefSeq lists it as uncharacterized. The transcript is spliced from 5 exons. NCBI's taxonomy places the organism in Eukaryota, Metazoa, Chordata, Mammalia, Carnivora, Mustelidae. The record is from RefSeq and is a predicted model, not a curated record.
UGUCCUGAUUUGCCAGAUGGGGGAAACUCUUGUGCUCUCUUUUAUUGUUCUUUCCUUAAAAAAACAACUCUGGACGUUUGCACAGGGAAGAUGACCCACAGUCAGGAGAAUAUUGGGUUCUAAAAUCAUCUGUUUCCAUUCCUUCCUGUGUGUGUUUCCCUCCUGUCUCUGAGGCGGUCCUGUGGAUGGGGCAAGAUAGAGAGUGGAUGUUGUUGUUUUCCUGAAGGAGACUUGCUGUAUUCCCUGGCAGGCACGGGCAGGAGAUUCUGCAGGUCAGGCAGAGGUUUUGGACCGAGAAAAAGGCACCACUUCUCUCUGUAGAAGCUGGGUAGAGACAUCAAUCAAGAGCCAUAGACACAAAUGCUAAAGUAAUUUGGGAAUUUUCAGAGGUACUGAUACUGAUGAACUCCUGGAAACUACAUGGUGAUGGGUCAUUAAUGUUCUCAGAAUGAGAAAUACAGUGCUGUGAAAACUCCAAACCGUCAUUUCCUCUUUACAGAGAACUCUUUGAUGAGACAAAGUGGUUCAUCUUCAAGUGGCACUAGUAUCUCCAUCUUCUCUUCAACUUCUCUGUGGAUUUGUCCUCUCCUCAGAAGACUGAAGCCAUGUUGGUUGGGUGUCCAUAGUCUUGUCCCCUGAAAUUCCAAACCUGGAAUGGAUGGAUCUCAAUUCAGUGGGAUUUGGUGUUGUGAAGUUUGUUUCUUACUUUUUUUUUAAAUUUUUUAAAAGAUUAUUUAUUUAUUUAUUUGACAGAGAAA